UACAGAGGUGGCAAGCGUUGUUCGGAAUUACUGGGCGUAAAGGGCGCGUAGGCGGCCUUGUCAGUCAGACGUGAAAUCCCCAGGCUUAACCUGGGAACUGCGUCUGAUACUACAAGGCUUGAGUUCGGGAGAGGAAUGUGGAAUUCCAGGUGUAACGGUGAAAUGCGUAGAUAUCUGGAGGAACACCGGUGGCGAAGGCGGCAUUCUGGACCGAAACUGACGCUGAGGCGCGAAAGCCAGGGGAGCAAACGGG
This 253-nucleotide ribosomal RNA is filed under the name uncultured bacterium. RNAcentral describes it as "partial 16S ribosomal RNA". It matches the Rfam family "Bacterial small subunit ribosomal RNA", at positions 524 to 776 of the family's 1533-position model. The record is from RNAcentral.